RNAcentral lists this ribosomal RNA (260 nucleotides) under uncultured bacterium. RNAcentral describes it as "partial 16S ribosomal RNA". It matches the Rfam family "Bacterial small subunit ribosomal RNA", at positions 524 to 776 of the family's 1533-position model. The record is from RNAcentral.
GACGUAGGGCGCGAGCGUUGUCCGGAUUUAUUGGGCGUAAAGAGCUCGUAGGCGGCUUGUCGCGUCGGCUGUGAAAACCCGCGGCUCAACUGUGGGCGGGCAGCUGAUACGGGCAGGCUGGAGUUCGGUAGGGGAGACGUGGAAUUCCUGGUGUGAGCGGUGAAAUGACGCAGAUAUCAGGAGGAACACCCGGUGGCGAAGGCGGGUCUCUGGGCCGGAUGACUGACGCUGGAGGAGCGAAAGCAUGGGGAGCGAACAGG